AAAAAAAAAAAGAAAGCGGUGAUCUCGGUGUGACAGCUCAGAGCUGUCCACGUCAACACACCGAGCGAGCACGGCGGCGGCGGCAGCGAUGGACUCCACGUCUCUGGAACCUUCCCUUUACACAGUGAAAGCAGUUUUCAUUCUUGACAAUGAUGGCAACAGACUUCUGUCAAAGUACUAUGACCCUGAGCUUUACCCCUCCAUGAAGGAACAGAAGAAUUUUGAGAGGAACAUUUUCAACAAGACACACAAAGCUGACAAUGAGAUAGCUUUCCUGGAGGGGAUGACCAUCGUCUAUAAGAGCAGCAUAGAUCUCUUCUUCUAUGUGGUGGGAAGUGCUCAGGAGAAUGAGCUGAUGCUGAUGUCGGUACUGAACUGCCUGUUUGAGUCCCUCAGUCAGAUCCUCAGGAAAAAUGUGGAGCGGAGGUGUUUACUGGACAACAUGGAGGGAGUGUUCUUGGUUGUGGAUGAAAUCAUUGAUGGAGGGGUAAUUCUGGAGAGUGACCCCCAGCAGGUCCUACAGAAGGUCAACUACAGGCUAAUGUCAGAGCCAGCCUAUGGCUUCGUCCUGUUUGAUUACAUCACCGGUAACGUAGAGGGACAAACAGACAAGAGCCAGCUGCUGUAGACAGACAGACAGACACACAGAGGGCGGAUGAAAACCCAUUAUCUGAACAAAGUGUGGCCCAGGUUCUGCAGUCGGCCAAGGAGCAGAUUAAAUGGUCCAUACUGAAAUGACUUGGACCAGACAAAUGUAAUAUUCUCAAGAAAACAUUUUUAGUCCCAAAGCUAUUUUUUUAUAGUAACACACUAAAGGGAAGGUUGUUACAAGCCUGUAGGCCAAUAAGCUUAUAGCUUUAUAUAGCAAUUAACCAGCCAGUAAUAGAAUUAGGUUUCUGUGUGUAAUGGCAUCUUGUUACAUUGUGUGUGACAUGUAAUUAAUUUAUUUGGUUUUGGAUUGAUGUUGGUUCAUACUCGUGUAGAUUUGUCAUGAGGAAACGAAGGAGGAAGUGAAAGCUCGGCUUUCAGUGUCCAGCUGUGCUUCUGUAAAAGGCAGUUAGUACCAAACUAAUCAAUGAAAAUACUGGAAGUCUGAUCAGCGAUCAGUAAUCUAUUGCUUUUAUUUGGGUGGAGCAGGAUUUUCCACUCUUAUUUACUCAAAACUGAAUAUGACUUUGGGGUUUAUUUGCAUAUACUGCUAAUAUGCAUAAUUUGAAAGUUACAGUUUUUUUACACAACUUUUUUUUCCGCCAAAAUGUUACACAUGGAACAACUGGGCUAAAUCUAGCCCAUGAUAGGAUGCCAGGUCCCCAGACCACUUCCUAAUUCAAAACAAAACAAACAAAACACCAGCAGAUACUCGCAAAUUCAAGCUAAAAAGCUGAAUAUCACAUAAGAAAUUUUUACCACAUUAUUUUCCAGGGGUGGUGUUAAAUUCACUCACACACUGACAUCAUUUGUGCACUGAAAUGCUCACUUUUGUUGUUCCUUACAUGACACUUGCAGUACAUGUGUUUUGUAGAAUUUAUCUGAAGACUGUAAAGGAAUGUAAUGAUGCCUUAUGACACUAAACAACUAUUCUAGCACCAUGUGUACGAGGAAACAUGUUACUGUUGCACUGUCAGCAAAACCCUCAUUUUCCUAAAGGUGGAAUUCCCUUAUAAAGGUAAAUUAGUAUCUGUACAGAUAAUUGAUCUGUGAGUCAAAGGGACCUUGAAGAGUUCUAAAGAAUUAUGUCUAUUUUCUGAGACUGAAAGAGGUUCAUAGAUAUUAAUUAUUUUCUUAGUUGAAAAGAAGAGGAAAAAGAAAACCAAAGACACUGUUUACAUUUGGAUGUUGUUGAAACAGACUGCAUGGUGUCAGAUGUAGGGCGUUUUGUCUGUCCACCAUAUGUGACACUGAUAAUAAAAUAUUUGUCCUGGA
This is an RNA transcript of Epinephelus fuscoguttatus (brown-marbled grouper), 1923 nucleotides long. It is a transcript of the gene named COPI coat complex subunit zeta 2, with no coding region annotated. The record is from RefSeq and is a predicted model, not a curated record. The transcript has 10 exons. Lineage: Eukaryota; Metazoa; Chordata; Actinopteri; Perciformes; Serranidae.